This 491-nucleotide ribosomal RNA is filed under the name uncultured bacterium. RNAcentral's name for it is "bacterial SSU rRNA". It matches the Rfam family "Bacterial small subunit ribosomal RNA", at positions 8 to 526 of the family's 1533-position model. The record is from RNAcentral.
AGAGUUUGAUCAUGGCUCAGGGUAAACGCUGGCGGCGUGCCUAAAACAUGCAAGUCGAACGGGCAGUCUUCGGAUUGUCAGUGGCAGACGGCUGAGUAACGCGUGGGUGACGUACCUGUUGGUGGGGAAUAACUGCCCGAAAGGGUGGCUAAUUCCGCAUACGUCCUUCAGUUCAGUCUGAAGGAGAAAGCCGCAAGGCGCCGAUGGAGCGGCCCGCGUCCGAUUAGCUGGUUGGUGGGGUAACGGCCUACCAAGGCAACGAUCGGUAGCUGGUCUCAGAGGAUGAUCAGCCAGACUGGGACUGAGACACGGCCCAGACUCCUACGGGAGGCAGCAGUUAGGAAUUUUGGGCAAUGGGCGCAAGCCUGACCCAGCAACGCCGCGUGGGUGACGAAGGCCUUCGGGUUGUAAAGCCCUUUUCUGAGGGAAGAUAGUGACGGUACCUCAGGAAGAAGCACCGGCUAACUACGUGCCAGCAGCCGCGGUAAUAC